UCAUAGGACAUGCUCAUUCACUCUUG
Molecule: non-coding RNA, 26 nt
Filed under: Cricetulus griseus (Chinese hamster)
Lineage: Eukaryota; Metazoa; Chordata; Mammalia; Rodentia; Cricetidae
Source: RNAcentral